GGUGAGGUGCUGGAACAGCUGCCCAGAGAGGCUGUGAUGCCCCGUCCAUCCCUGGAGGUGUUCAAGGCCAGGUUGGAUGGGGCCCUGGGCAGCCUGGGCUGGUAUGAAACGUGGAGGUUGGUGGCCCUGUGUGUGGCAGGGGGUUGGAGCUUCGUGAUCCUUGAGGUCCCUUCCAACCCUGGCCAUUCUGUGAUUCUGUCUCUCUGUGAAGCAGUUCAGCCCACGGACCCUGCAGAAAAUGUUUUUCUGCCAGCCUGUUUUCAUGAACAUUAUUUGUUCACUUGGCUUGUCCAGUUUUGUGGCACAGUUCCCCUGGUGCCACUGCUUUCCCUGGUCACCUGUUUGUUUAUCAGUGUAUGGAGUUUUCAAAAGACCUGCAAGAGUGAAGAGCCUCCAUCCCAUGGAAAACUUCAGACUUUUUUUGAAGCCCUCAUGGGAAAAAAUAAUUUUCAUUGGUCAGUAAUUCACAACCUUUCAUUUUUGCAUCACGACAUCUUUCCCCAAUACUGUUUGGUGAAAUUAUCUGUUCUUCCAGGUUCUAGAUCUGCACGACAACCAGCUGGCAUCACUUCCUACUGAUAUUAGUCAGCUGACAUCUCUUCAGGUCCUAAAUCUUGAAAGGAAUCUCUUAAAAUGUCUUCCACAAUCUAUAGGGGAUCUUGCCCAGCUCCAGGUCCUCAAUGUGAAAGGCAAUAAGCUGAGGGAGCUGCCUGCCACAGUGAGUGGUCUGAGGAGCCUGCGCACUCUGAAUGUCAGCGAGAACCUCCUGCAGGAGCUGCCGAGGGUGCUGG
This is a long non-coding RNA of Tympanuchus pallidicinctus (lesser prairie-chicken), 791 nucleotides long. RefSeq lists it as uncharacterized. The transcript has 3 exons. The record is from RefSeq and is a predicted model, not a curated record. Lineage: Eukaryota; Metazoa; Chordata; Aves; Galliformes; Phasianidae.